GACAGAGGGGGCAAGCGUUGCUCGGAAUCACUGGGCGUAAAGGGCGCGUAGGCGGGAUGGCAAGUCGGUCGUGAAAUCCUUCGGCUCAACCGAAGAACGUCGGCCGAUACUGCUGUUCUUGAGGGAUGCAGAGGAGAUUGGAAUUCCCGGUGUAGCGGUGAAAUGCGCAGAUAUCAGGAAGAACACCCGUGGCGAAGGCGGCUCUCUGGGACGGUACUGACGCUGAGACGCGAAAGCGUGGGGAGCGAACAGG
RNAcentral lists this ribosomal RNA (253 nucleotides) under uncultured bacterium. Its description in RNAcentral is "partial 16S ribosomal RNA". It matches the Rfam family "Bacterial small subunit ribosomal RNA", at positions 524 to 776 of the family's 1533-position model. The record is from RNAcentral.